RNAcentral lists this ribosomal RNA (253 nucleotides) under uncultured bacterium. RNAcentral's name for it is "partial 16S ribosomal RNA". It matches the Rfam family "Bacterial small subunit ribosomal RNA", at positions 524 to 776 of the family's 1533-position model. The record is from RNAcentral.
UACGUAGGGUGCGAGCGUUAAUCGGAAUUACUGGGCGUAAAGUGUGCGCAGGCGGCAGAGCAAGUCGAGUGUGAAAGCCCCGGGCUUAACUUGGGAAUUGCGCUCGAAACUACUUUGCUGGAGUGUGGCAGAGGAAGGUGGAAUUCCACGUGUAGCGGUGAAAUGCGUAGAGAUGUGGAGGAACACCAAUGGCGAAGGCAGCCUUCUGGGCCAACACUGACGCUCGUGCACGAAAGCGUGGGGAGCAAACAGG